RNAcentral lists this ribosomal RNA (1280 nucleotides) under uncultured bacterium. RNAcentral describes it as "bacterial SSU rRNA". It matches the Rfam family "Bacterial small subunit ribosomal RNA", at positions 93 to 1399 of the family's 1533-position model. The record is from RNAcentral.
GAGUGGCGGACGGGUGAGUAACGCGUGGGUAACCUGCCUUAUACAGGGGGAUAACAGUUAGAAAUGACUGCUAAUACCGCAUAAGCGCACAGGAUUGCAUGAUCUGGUGUGAAAAACUCCGGUGGUAUAAGAUGGACCCGCGUCUGAUUAGCUGGUUGGUGAGGUAACGGCCCACCAAGGCGACGAUCAGUAGCCGACCUGAGAGGGUGACCGGCCACAUUGGGACUGAGACACGGCCCAAACUCCUACGGGAGGCAGCAGUGGGGAAUAUUGCACAAUGGGGGAAACCCUGAUGCAGCGACGCCGCGUGGAGGAAGAAGGUCUUCGGAUUGUAAACUCCUGUUGUUGAGGAAGAUAAUGACGGUACUCAACAAGGAAGUGACGGCUAACUACGUGCCAGCAGCCGCGGUAAAACGUAGGUCACAAGCGUUGUCCGGAAUUACUGGGUGUAAAGGGAGCGCAGGCGGGAAGACAAGUUGGAAGUGAAAUCCAUGGGCUCAACCCAUGAACUGCUUUCAAAACUGUUUUUCUUGAGUAGUGCAGAGGUAGGCGGAAUUCCCGGUGUAGCGGUGGAAUGCGUAGAUAUCGGGAGGAACACCAGUGGCGAAGGCGGCCUACUGGGCACCAACUGACGCUGAGGCUCGAAAGUGUGGGUAGCAAACAGGAUUAGAUACCCUGGUAGUCCACACUGUAAACGAUGAUUACUAGGUGUUGGAGGAUUGACCCCUUCAGUGCCGCAGUUAACACAAUAAGUAAUCCACCUGGGGAGUACGACCGCAAGGUUGAAACUCAAAGGAAUUGACGGGGGCCCGCACAAGCAGUGGAGUAUGUGGUUUAAUUCGACGCAACGCGAAGAACCUUACCAAGUCUUGACAUCCUGCGACGCACAUAGAAAUAUGUGUUUCCUUCGGGACGCAGAGACAGGUGGUGCAUGGUUGUCGUCAGCUCGUGUCGUGAGAUGUUGGGUUAAGUCCCGCAACGAGCGCAACCCUUAUGGUCAGUUACUACGCAAGAGGACUCUGGCCAGACUGCCGUUGACAAAACGGAGGAAGGUGGGGAUGACGUCAAAUCAUCAUGCCCUUUAUGACUUGGGCUACACACGUACUACAAUGGCGUUAAACAAAGAGAAGCAAGACCGCGAGGUGGAGCAAAACUCAGAAACAACGUCCCAGUUCGGACUGCAGGCUGCAACUCGCCUGCACGAAGUCGGAAUUGCUAGUAAUCGCAGAUCAGCAUGCUGCGGUGAAUACGUUCCCGGGCCUUGUACACACCGCCCGUCA